AUUGAACGCUGGCGGCAUGCUUUACACAUGCAAGUCGAACGGUAACAGGGAGCUUGCUCCGCUGACGAGUGGCGAACGGGUGAGUAAUGCAUCGGAACGUGCCGUGUAAUGGGGGAUAACGUAGCGAAAGUUACGCUAAUACCGCAUACGCCCUGAGGGGGAAAGUGGGGGACCGCAAGGCCUCACGUUAUACGAGCGGCCGAUGUCGGAUUAGCUAGUUGGUGGGGUAAAGGCCUACCAAGGCGACGAUCCGUAGCGGGUCUGAGAGGAUGAUCCGCCACACUGGGACUGAGACACGGCCCAGACUCCUACGGGAGGCAGCAGUGGGGGAAUUUUGGGACAAUGGGGGCAACCCUGAUCCAGCCAUGCCGCGUGAGUGAAGAAGGCCUUCGGGUUGGUAAAGACUCUUUCAGGUGGAAGAAAUACGCAUC
RNAcentral lists this ribosomal RNA (431 nucleotides) under uncultured bacterium. RNAcentral describes it as "bacterial SSU rRNA". It matches the Rfam family "Bacterial small subunit ribosomal RNA", at positions 30 to 457 of the family's 1533-position model. The record is from RNAcentral.